This 520-nucleotide ribosomal RNA is filed under the name Phragmidium mucronatum. RNAcentral describes it as "eukaryotic LSU rRNA". It matches the Rfam family "Eukaryotic large subunit ribosomal RNA", at positions 88 to 608 of the family's 3401-position model. Lineage: Eukaryota; Fungi; Basidiomycota; Pucciniomycetes; Pucciniales; Phragmidiaceae. The record is from RNAcentral.
GGCGAGUGAAGAGGGAAAAGCCCAAAUUUGUAAUCUGGCUCUUUUAUGAGGGUCCGAGUUGUAAUUUUGAGAACUGUUUUCUGUGCUGGACCAUUUCUAAGUCUGUUGGAAAAUAGCAUCAUAGAGGGUGAUAAUCCCGUAUGUGAUAUGGACUACCAGGGCUAUAUGAUACAGUUUCUAAGAGUCGAGUUGUUUGGGAAUGCAGCUCAAAGUGGGUGGUAAAUUCCAUCUAAGGCUAAAUAUAGGUGAGAGACCGAUAGCAUACAAGUACCGUGAGGGAAAGAUGAAAAGAACUUUGGAAAGAGAGUUAACAGUACGUGAAAUUGUUGUAAGGGAAACACUUAAACUUAUCGUUGUGCUUGUCAGUUCAGCCCUCUUAUCAGGGUGUAUUCUGACAAAACACGGACCAACAUCAGUNUUUGAGUGCUGGAUAAGGGUCUUGGGAAUGUAGCAGUNUAGGCUGUGUUAUAGCCCAGGAUUUAGAUACAGUGCUUAGGACUGAGAGAUAUUUGCAGCAAGC